Molecule: ribosomal RNA, 1372 nt
Filed under: uncultured bacterium
Lineage: Bacteria
Description: bacterial SSU rRNA
Rfam family: Bacterial small subunit ribosomal RNA
Source: RNAcentral
GAUGAACGCUGGCGGCGUGCCUAAUACAUGCAAGUCGAGCGAACGGACGAGAAGCUUGCUUCUCUGAUGUUAGCGGCGGACGGGUGAGUAACACGUGGAUAACCUACCUAUGAGACUGGGAUAACUUCGGGAAACCGGAGCUAAUACCGGAUAAUAUUUUGAACCGCAUGGUUCAAAAGUGAAAGACGGUCUUGCUGUCACUUAUAGAUGGAUCCGCGCUGCAUUAGCUAGUUGGUAAGGUAACGGCUUACCAAGGCAACGAUGCAUAGCCGACCUGAGAGGGUGAUCGGCCACACUGGAACUGAGACACGGUCCAGACUCCUACGGGAGGCAGCAGUAGGGAAUCUUCCGCAAUGGGCGAAAGCCUGACGGAGCAACGCCGCGUGAGUGAUGAAGGUCUUCGGAUCGUAAAACUCUGUUAUUAGGGAAGAACAUAUGUGUAAGUAACUGUGCACAUCUUGACGGUACCUAAUCAGAAAGCCACGGCUAACUACGUGCCAGCAGCCGCGGUAAUACGUAGGUGGCAAGCGUUAUCCGGAAUUAUUGGGCGUAAAGCGCGCGUAGGCGGUUUUUUAGUCUGAUGUGAAAGCCCACGGCUCAACUGUGGAGGGUCAUUGGAAACUGGAAAACUUGAGUGCAGAAGAGGAAAGUGGAAUUCCAUGUGUAGCGGUGAAAUGCGCAGAGAUAUGGAGGAACACCAGUGGCGAAGGCGACUUUCUGGUCUGUAACUGACGCUGAUGUGCGAAAGCGUGGGGAUCAAACAGGAUUAGAUACCCUGGUAGUCCACGCCGUAAACGAUGAGUGCUAAGUGUUAGGGGGUUUCGGCCCCUUAGUGCUGCAGCUAACGCAUUAAGCACUCCGCCUGGGGAGUACGACCGCAAGGUUGAAACUCAAAGGAAUUGACGGGGACCCGCACAAGCGGUGGAGCAUGUGGUUUAAUUCGAAGCAACGCGAAGAACCUUACCAAAUCUUGACAUCCUUUGACAACUCUAGAGAUAGAGCUUUCCCCUUCGGGGGACAAAGUGACAGGUGGUGCAUGGUUGUCGUCAGCUCGUGUCGUGAGAUGUUGGGUUAAGUCCCGCAACGAGCGCAACCCUUGUCUUAUGUUGCCAGCAUUUGGUUGGGGACUCAUGAGAGACUGCCGGGGUCAACUCGGAGGAAGGUGGGGAUGACGUCAAAUCAUCAUGCCCCUUAUGUCCAGGGCUUCACACAUGCUACAAUGGUCGGUACAACGCGCAGCGACACUGUGAGGUGGAGCGAAUCGCUGAAAGCCGGCCUUAGUUCGGAUUGGGGUCUGCAACUCGACCCCAUGAAGUCGGAGUCGCUAGUAAUCGCAGAUCAGCAAUGCUGCGGGAAUACGAUACCCGGGCCU